AGCUUUGAAGCCGGCGAGCGGUGAGGAGGAGGCGCCCUCGCGUGUGGAGAGCGGACUCCGCCUGGACUCCACCGCCCACGGCCGCAUCCCAUCGCCGCACAAGAUCGCCGGAGUCAUAUUAUCGACGUAGUUAAAGCCCACUAGCCUAAAGCCGGGCGGACUGCGGUGUGGUCCCUGAUCCCUACGGUGGUGGUGGUAACUCACACUUGUUUCAGUUCUGAAACUGCUCUUCCUGCUGCUGGAGCCCCCACCCCUGCUCCAUUUUGAAGUAGCUGAUCCGGAUCAGCUUAGAUUGUGCCAAGUUUCAAGAAAAAGAUGAAAUAUGAGUUGCAUUUUGACAAAUGAAGAGGAUGUGAAGGGCAGAAGGAGCAGAAACUACCAGCAGAGAUGCUAAGAUGAAAG
Molecule: long non-coding RNA, 402 nt
Filed under: Homo sapiens (human)
Lineage: Eukaryota; Metazoa; Chordata; Mammalia; Primates; Hominidae
Description: non-protein coding lnc-RNASET2-1:3
Source: RNAcentral